CGAAAGGGGGGCAACCCCCGAGUAGAGUGGCGAACGGGUGAGUAAUACAUCGGAACGUGUCCAGUAGCGGGGGAUAACCUCUCGAAAGAGAGGCUAAUACCGCAUACGACCUACGGGUGAAAGAGGGGGAUCGCAAGACCUCUCACUAUUGGAGCGGCCGAUGUCGGAUUAGCUAGUUGGCGGGGUAACGGCCCACCAAGGCGACGAUCCGUAGCUGGUCUGAGAGGACGACCAGCCACACUGGAACUGAGACACGGUCCAGACUCCUACGGGAGGCAGCAGUGGGGAAUUUUGGACAAUGGGCGCAAGCCUGAUCCAGCCAUGCCGCGUGAGUGAAGAAGGCCUUCGGGUUGUAAAGCUCUUUCGGCUGGGACGAAAAGGUCCGUGUUAACACCACGGAUCCAUGACGGUACCAGCAGAAGAAGCCCCGGCUAACUCCGUGCCAGCAGCCGCGGUAAUACGGAGGGGGCAAGCGUUGUUCGGAGUUACUGGGCGUAAAGGGCGCGUAGGCGGUGCAACAAGUCAGGCGUGAAAGCCCCGGGCUUAACCUGGGAAUUGCGCUUGAUACUGUUGCGCUAGAGAUCGGGAGAGGAUGGCGGAAUUCCCAGUGUAGAGGUGAAAUUCGUAGAUAUUGGGAAGAACACCGGUGGCGAAGGCGGCCAUCUGGACCGCAUCUGACGCUGAGGCGCGAAAGCGUGGGGAGCAAACAGG
Molecule: ribosomal RNA, 711 nt
Filed under: uncultured Pseudomonadota bacterium
Lineage: Bacteria; Pseudomonadati; Pseudomonadota
Description: bacterial SSU rRNA
Rfam family: Bacterial small subunit ribosomal RNA
Source: RNAcentral